AGUGUCUAACCCUUUGAGGCUUAUUGUCAAAGCUAUAGGAUAUCUACCUUGCAUGGUGGUUGUGAGUGAACAGCCGAUGCAGAAUGGACCCAGUGCUCAGUGGGUAGCUCUCUCCCACUGAAUUUUUUUUUUUUUUUUUUGGUCUCAGAAUGGCACUAUUGUCGGCUUAGCUCCCUUUGGAUCUUAGUGUCUUCAGUCUUCUUUCUUUUUUUUUCUGUACCCUUAUUAGAAGUGAAGGCUAAUCCUCAGCCUUAUUAUUUAACUACUUGAUCCAGCUCAACACUGAGCACCAACUGAGAAAAAGCUGCUCUGCUAGAACAUCAGCUACCUGAGGAUCCUGGCCCACACUUUCCACUCCUCAGGGAUGCACCUUCCAAUGGAGAAAACAGAAAACCCCAUCGCCUUCCUGAGAAUGUACGGCCAACAGCAAGGCUGUGCAGGAUGUCGAGGUGGUUGGACAACAAUCCUUCAACUGCAUAUGGCAGGAGCUUUAACUUUGUUGCCCCUAGUCUCAACUGGGUCCUUAGGAGUACUGUUCCAUUCUUUUAUGCAUCCUUACCCAGCUUAAUUUUCCAUUUUCAUGGUGGCCAUGCCAAACCUUUGUUCCUCUUCUUAACUUGUUCUCAGCAAAGAAAAUGGAAGGCUUUUGGGCUCAUGCUCCUUCAAAUGUUUGCCUUCCCUGCAUGCAAACUUGUGUACUUUAUUUUAUUUUAUCUUUGAGACAGGGUCUCGCUCUGUCACCCAGGCUGGAGUGCAGUACAUGAACAUGGCUCACUGGAAUGAGGCGCUUCUUUAUGCCACCACUCACAACAACCACGGAAGGUAGAUCUCCUAUAGCUUUGACAACUAAGCCUCAAAGGGUCAGACACUUGGCCAUGACUUGUGUGUCUCUGCUCCUCCUGAGGGUCUGAUCCAGUCUCAAGACUAAAUUCCAUGAAUACGCUGAUGGCUCCUAGAUUCUAUCUCCUGCAUAGAUGACUCCCAUGCUGAAUUCUGGACACAAUUCCCAAAUGCGUAUGGCCUCUCUCAUAAGCCUCUCAGGACUUCACAUAUCACAGAGAAACUCCUGAUUCCACCCCAAAAUGUGUUGCUCCUGCAGCUGUCUCCAUUCUAGAGAUAGCUUCCACCUCCUGGGCUCAAUUGAUCCUCCCACCUCAGCCUCCUG
Molecule: long non-coding RNA, 1165 nt
Filed under: Homo sapiens (human)
Lineage: Eukaryota; Metazoa; Chordata; Mammalia; Primates; Hominidae
Description: HSALNT0032244
Source: RNAcentral